RNAcentral lists this long non-coding RNA (212 nucleotides) under Panax ginseng (ginseng). Its description in RNAcentral is "long non-coding RNA (PGIN_LNC009259)". The record is from RNAcentral. Lineage: Eukaryota; Viridiplantae; Streptophyta; Magnoliopsida; Apiales; Araliaceae.
GCCAUUCGAUAUGGGGCUUUGGAAAUAGGUUUUGUACCAGGUUCAAGGUCGAUACAAAAUUUAAUUUCACGCUCUGGGAGUAGGCCAGGAAGUUCUUCAGGGAAUACGUCAGGAAAUUCAUUAACAAUAGAAAUAUCAUUCAAAACUGACGUAUUUUUGUUUAGAUCCGUGACAUGAGCUAAGAAAGCUUGACAUCCGUUUUUCAAUAAACG